CAUAAACAACAUUAAAACAGGAACGUUAACUGUAACUAUAACAAGAAGAAUAAUGCUGAUGACUUAGGCGAUUAGAUCAUCGUCUACUAUGAAAUUCCUCUUACGUAAGUUCCUGAAAAAGAAAAUGAACACACUUAUGGUGAUCAUGUGGGAGGAAGGAAACGACGGAACAUCCGAACAACAGGUAAGCGAUCUACCAUGGAUUUGACAGUCGCGGUUUACGGGAUGACGAGCGAUGGGUGUUCACGAAGGUAGGAAAGAUAUGGGUAGCACUUAUUCGCGUGAGAAAUGUCUUCGGAUACCACCUCUUAUGUUAGAUGCGAACCUAUACACCAGUUACACUCGGCAAAGUGACAGAUACGAAUGCGAGUUUUCUCCUGCGUGGUUUAGUAUCGAUAUCAAGUCAUAUUAUCCUAUCGUGUACAAGCAUAUACGCGAGAUACGCGUAUAUUAUAAUAUAAUUCAUUCCUUAUGCGUAUAUACCACCACGUAUCAAUACAUUUACAUAAAGAUUACGUACGCGGUAUGGUGCUCCUCGUCGUACCAGGUUUAAACCAUUAAAUUUUUAAAUUAAUCUUCCCAAGGAGAACACGAAAAAAAAAGAAAAAAGAAACUAAAAAGUGUCAUGCGUGUUUCUUCGCGAUAACCAAAACAACGAAAGUGGUGGUAACGUUUCCUGUCUAAUGAUGAUGAUGAUGAUGAUGAUGGUGCUGGUGAUGAUCGUAAUCGCUGAUUAGAAUGAUGGAUACUUAACACACUUUCGAGGAUCUCGCUAACGUUAUUAAUGAUGUCUAGAAAUAGAUUCGUAAGUUCUACUUUUCUUUUCUUUUCUUUUCUUUUCUUUCCUUUUUUGUUAGGAGAGUUAAGGUUGGAUUUUAUCGACUCUAAUGGCUUGUGAGAUUUUUUUAAAACGAGACGGGCUGGUCUAGUGGUAGGAAGGAAGGAAGGUAGAAAAGUCAA
Polistes canadensis is the source of this 960-nucleotide long non-coding RNA. RefSeq lists it as uncharacterized. The record is from RefSeq and is a predicted model, not a curated record. Lineage: Eukaryota; Metazoa; Arthropoda; Insecta; Hymenoptera; Vespidae. The transcript is spliced from 3 exons.